This 253-nucleotide ribosomal RNA is filed under the name uncultured bacterium. RNAcentral describes it as "partial 16S ribosomal RNA". It matches the Rfam family "Bacterial small subunit ribosomal RNA", at positions 524 to 776 of the family's 1533-position model. The record is from RNAcentral.
UACGUAGGUGGCAAGCGUUGUCCGGAAUUAUUGGGCGUAAAGCGCGCGCAGGCGGUUUCUUAAGUCUGAUGUGAAAGCCCACGGCUCAACCGUGGAGGGUCAUUGGAAACUGGGAAACUUGAGUGCAGAAGAGAAGAGCGGAAUUCCACGUGUAGCGGUGAAAUGCGUAGAGAUGUGGAGGAACACCAGUGGCGAAGGCGGCUUUCUGGUCUGUAACUGACGCUGAGGCGCGAAAGCGUGGGGAGCAAACAGG